ACAAAACGAAACAAUUACAUAACACAUAAUCAAUCCUUAAACAACAGCUUUUUUAUUAUGACGAACUCCUUACAAUAACUCCUUCAAACAUAGGAGCAAUACAAAAAAUGCAUUUGAUGUAUAAGAGACAUUAAAUAUUAAGAAAGCAUAUAUAAUUAAAAGCACCUAAAUAAGCUAUAGAACUUAAAUGAGAGAAUAAGACAUUGAAAAACACUAAUAUAUAAGAUUAUCACAUAGUAUACUUUCCUAAAAUUAUUACAAAUAAUCUUGACCUAGAAUGUCUAACUUCUUGGACUUGCAAGGUCAAGAAAAUUUGAAAAUAAUUUAUAAAGUUGAAAAAAAUAAAAAGAAGAUAUAAGAAGAAUAAGCUCAGGAGAGAUAUCGCCAUGACAAUCACCACACUUCCCUUUGUUCUUGAAUAUUGUAACCAUCAUCUUGAGGUGCCAUGAUAGAGAAGAACAUUGUGGCCAUUUCUUGUAUGAAACAGUACUGCAUGGUGAAAUCCUAGAAACUGGUUGAGGAAGUUUAAGUGAGGGAGAGAGGGUUAUAGUUGCAUGAAUGAAUGAAAUGUGUGGGAAUGAGUAGAAGAAUAUUGGAACUAUAUAUAUAAUGAAAACUCAAGAAGAUUGUGAGGAACUCUUGUGAGCCAUAUGAGAGAUGUAAAAAAUGAGAGGGAAGGUGUGGAAAUAAAAAUGGAAAAAAU
Molecule: long non-coding RNA, 703 nt
Filed under: Medicago truncatula (barrel medic)
Lineage: Eukaryota; Viridiplantae; Streptophyta; Magnoliopsida; Fabales; Fabaceae
Description: long non-coding RNA (MTRU_LNC003599)
Source: RNAcentral